RNAcentral lists this ribosomal RNA (1908 nucleotides) under Metanophrys sinensis. RNAcentral's name for it is "SSU rRNA". It matches the Rfam family "Eukaryotic small subunit ribosomal RNA". The record is from RNAcentral. Lineage: Eukaryota; Ciliophora; Oligohymenophorea; Philasterida; Orchitophryidae.
CUAACCUGGUUGAUCCCUGCCAGUAGUCAUAUGCUUGUCUCAAAGACUAAGCCAUGCAUGUCUAAGUAUAAAUAGUAUACAGUGAAACUGCGAAUGGCUCAUUAAAACAGUUAUAGUUUAUUUGAUAAUGAUAAUUACAUGGAUAACCGUGGUAAUUCUAGAGCUAAUACAUGCUGUCAAACCCGACUUCUGGAAGGGUUGUAUUUAUUAGAUAUCAAGCCAAUAUUCCUCGUGUCUAUUGUGGUGAAUCAUAGUAACUGAUCGAACCCCUUCUUGGGGUAAAUCAUUCAAGUUUCUGCCCUAUCAGCUUUCGAUGGUAGUGUAUUGGACUACCAUGGCAGUCACGGGUAACGGAGAAUUAGGGUUCGGUUCCGGAGAGGGAGCCUGAGAAACGGCUACCACUUCUAAGGAAGGCAGCAGGCGCGUAAAUUACCCAAUCCUGAUUCAGGGAGGUAGUGACAAGAAAUAACAACCUGGAAGACUUUGUCUUUACAGGAUUGUAGUGAGAACAAUCUAAAAACUUUAUGCCGAUGAAAUGCUCAUCCAGAGGCCAAGUCUGGUGCCAGGCGAGCCGCGGUACAAAAGGCCAGCUCAAAUAGUCGAAUCAAAAUGCAAUCAACAGUCUCGCACGCCUGCACAGGUAAAAAGCUCGUAGUUGAAAUUCUGUACAUGCCCGGGUCUCCAGCUACUAUGUCGAACCGAGGAGUGUGCACUGCCGCUUACAAACGUUAGCCCGGUAAUCAUUGGUCGACUAACGGAGGAGGCCCUGUGACUCAGAAUAUCCCAGAGAUUCAGAGCUGGUUGCAAGCAGGCAAUGGCUUCGAGAUACAUUAGCAUGGAAUAAUGGAAUAGCACAUCAAUGAAGUCAAGAUGGGGGGUUAUUGGAAUUUAGUAAGGAGUAACUAGGUAGCAGUUGGGGGCCAUUUAGUAUCAGCCAGUCAAGAGGUAAAAUUCCAAAAUUUGGGUCGUUGAGUGUGUUAAGACUAACUUAUGCGAAAGCAUUUGGCUUGGAUGUUUUCAUUAAUCAAGAUAGGAGAGUUAGGGGAUCACAGACGAUCAGAUACCGUCCUAGUCUUAAACUAUAAACUCUGGCGUCUCGGAAUCGGGCGAUGGCCAUCUUAACUAUGGGCAUUUGGGGGGGUAUGAGAGAUCAAAGUUUUUGGGUUGUGGAGGGAAGUAGGUGGCAACACCAAGGUUGAAGACUUAAAGGAAUUGACGGAAGCGUUUUCCCUCACCGAGGAGUGGAGCACUUUGCGGGCUUCAUUUGCCGUCAACACUGGGGAAACUUACCAGUUCCAGAAGAUGUUUGGGAUUGACAGAUUGAUGAGCUCUUUCUUGAUUCUAUGGGUGGUGGUGCGUUGGCCGCUUCUUACGUUGUUGGAUUGAUUUGUCUGUUUCAUUCCGUUAACUUACGAGGCCCCGACCCCUUAACUUGUUCAUUAUUGUACACUGUAUGUCUAAUAGGGUGUUACUUCUUAGAGGGACUAUACGUAUCAAACGGUAUGGAAUUUUGAGGCUUUAGCCGGUCUCGUGAUCCCCGCCGCCCUUAUAUGUCCCUGGGCACUGCACGCUCCCAUUACAAUAGAGCAUAGUGUUCACAAUGUUUUUCCUGCCCUGAAAAGGUUUGGGAAAUCCUUAUAGUAUUUGUCAGUGUUACGGGGUCGAUGAUUCCUGUUAGUCAUUUAUGGGCGUCAUUGACCUAAGGAAUGCCUAGUCAAAGCGCUAUCUCAUCAGAGCUGGACUGAUUCCCGUCCCUCGCCCCUGCAAAAUGGUACGGACCGCUCGUUCGGUCCUACUGAUCGUCGAGCACCUGUUCGAGUGCAUCUUCUGGACUUGACUCCGCAAAACCCGAGCAUAAAUCAUAUACCUGAUCAUUAGCGACAUUAGAAGUCGAACUGCGAAAAAACG